RNAcentral lists this ribosomal RNA (462 nucleotides) under uncultured bacterium. RNAcentral's name for it is "partial 16S ribosomal RNA". It matches the Rfam family "Bacterial small subunit ribosomal RNA", at positions 28 to 507 of the family's 1533-position model. The record is from RNAcentral.
GACGAACGCUGGCGGCGUGCUUAACACAUGCAAGUCGAGCGGAAAGGCCCUUCGGGGUACUCGAGCGGCGAACGGGUGAGUAACACGUGAGUAACCUGCCCCAGACUUUGGGAUAACUCUCGGAAACGGGGGCUAAUACCGGAUACGACACAGCUUCGCAUGGGGUCUGUGUGGAAAGUUUUUCGGUUUGGGAUGGGCUCGCGGCCUAUCAGCUUGUUGGUGGGGUGAUGGCCUACCAAGGCGACGACGGGUAGCCGGCCUGAGAGGGCGACCGGCCACACUGGGACUGAGACACGGCCCAGACUCCUACGGGAGGCAGCAGUGGGGAAUAUUGCACAAUGGGCGGAAGCCUGAUGCAGCGACGCCGCGUGAGGGAUGACGGCCUUCGGGUUGUAAACCUCUUUCAGCAGGGACGAAGCGUAAGUGACGGUACCUGCAGAAGAAGCGCCGGCCAACUACGUG